CCACCUGCUCUGUAUGGUGUAUCCAUCUCUAUGUGGAUGCUGUGAAAUUACCUCUGCCUUAGCUUCUCUGAAGCUUCUCGUUGACUUCUCCCUGCACUCCCAAAGACUCCUCCUUCCCCAGUCUGGUGCGUGUCCGUGACUGAUGUCACGAUGCCAGAAUCACAGGGCAUCUCCUUUAUGUCCCUUUCUUAAGGGUAACAUCGCAAUGAUGAGAAAAUACUGAUUGAAUAGUAAUACCGCCUGCACAAUACAGCAGAAUCCAUUCUCGUCUCACCAUUUCUGCCACUCCUACCCUAAUCCAAACCAUCGCCAUCCAACCACAAGGUCUCACCUAGACUUUCACAUCACACCCAACUGAGCCUCCUUGCUUCUGCUCAACUACUUGAGACUUGAAAGCUAUUCCCACAACAGCCAAGAUGUUACACAGCUUCUGGAGAUAACAGAAUAAAUAAAAGGCCAUAGGUGUGAUCCACAUUCUGUUUUGACCGUUAAUCCAUCAGAGUAACGUAACUUAUGAGAAAAGAGUUCAAGGGGACAGGCAGAAUUGUCCUGGAAAGAUGCCUCUCCCACGUGGCGAGCACAGUGAACCUAGUUAAUUGGGUUCAGGGCCUUAAAAACACACUGGAAAAAAAGGACGCAGACGAGGGUGUGUUUACCCCUAGCUCUAGGGUAGGGGCUUCCUGACUGUUCACGGUGGUCACCAUCAGCAUGACGGCAGCAUGACCACGCAUGCUGUACACUCACUUUAUCGCGGAAAAUAAAUGAAUGAGAACCAAGAACUGGAUCCACCACCCUUUGGAGGGCUGGAGUUGCACCAUCCUGAUUGUCAAGGGACAGUCAGGACAAGGAGGGCCAUAGGUCAGGGGAAGACAUGUUCUGUCAAGAGUCAAGGGCAAGGUGAAUGUGGAGUUCCCGUUGUGGCACAAUAGCAACAAGUCUGACUAGUAUCCAUGAGGAUGCUGGUUCGAUCCCUGGCCUCACUCAGUGGGUUAAGGAUUCUGUGUCGCCGUGAGCUGUGGUGUAGGUCGCAGACAAGGCUUGGAUCUUGUAUUGCUGUGGCCGUGGUGUAGGCCGGAGGAUGCAGCUCCAAUUUGACUCCUAGCCUGGGAACCUCCAUGUGCCGUGAGUGCGGCCCUAAAAAAAAGACAAAAAAAAGAAAAAAGAAAAAAAAAAGAAAUCAAGGGCAAGGUGGAGAUCUCGAGUCUGCAGAGACACAGGAAGGAUGGCAUUUGAUCUUUUCAUGGAUGAGUUAAAGUUUUAUGUAUGGAACCUAGCAGGCGCAAUAUUGUUUUCUUUAUGCAACACUUUUCUUUGAACUCUUGUAAUCUGUGUAUAAAAAUGAAACCGGAAUUCUUCCCAGAUUGUGAGGUACUUUGCAAAGUGCAGAAUAGAAACAAAGCAAGAUCACUGCUAGCAGGAAGAGAGCGGUGAGCCUGUGGCUUUACAUGCUCUGCUCUUCCUGCCGACACUGGAAAAUAGACGCACUAAAGGUUAGGUGUAAUCUGGGGCUGUAGACCAAGAUAUGAGACCAGAUAGACUUUGAGGAAAAUACAGAUCAUUUUAGUGACUGAAGCAUAUUGUCUAAAUAAAUAUGCCUUUACUUAAGAAUUUAGCAAGGUGAUGAUGGCUGUGGUAUUCAGAUUAGAUUAGAGAUUUUCCAAUUCUGGGAUUUACUUGGAGCCAUGACUGAGGGGUGUUUAUUUUUAUUUUUCUCUUUUAAAAAUUGGAAUUUUUUUUUCUAAUUCAUUUUUCCAAUGUGGAGGUUUUGAAUGGAAGUAAGGGGCUAACCAUAGGCAUUAAGGUUCAGUUUUCUGUGUUAUGUUCUCUGAAUCAGAUACACACCUGAAUGAUCACUCCUCUCUCUGUCAACAGAGAAAAAGGUGGCAGGGAGCAGAGUGAACAAAAUUAUAGGAAAGGGGGAAAAUGGUCUUCAUUGCCACAUGUCAAAGAAGUAUUGGCUCAGGUACAGUAUUUAUCACUCGAGGUGUAUGAUUCCAAAAGCGCAUUUAUAUGCUAUCAUCAGUUAAGUGGGCUGAGCCAUUCUUCAUCCGAUUAAAAAUGAAGGUAUAAAAAGUGCAGGCUGACACCAUGUUAUACCGGAUUAUAGUCUUUUAUCAAAGAUUAGCAGGCUCUGUUCUAUUAUCUAGCAGGCCCGAGUUCUCCCAAUCCAUUGCCUUUGCACAGGAGAAUGACAAAAUUCAAAUUUCAAAUGCAGCCAGCGAAUGAAUAAAGAGUGGCGAUGACUCAGCCUGGAGAAAAUAUGACUGUUGGAGUAUUACCGUAAAACAAGCCUCCCUGUUCAAUCUGUCAACACAAACAACCAGAACGUGGGGAAGGGCCGGGUGCAGAAGAGGAAUCUAAAUGAAUUUGGAGUUCUCAAUCUUUCAACUGGUUACAGCAAAAAAAGAGAAAACCUUUGUGAAGACGAAAGAGCUUUCUUCUAUAUUUAAAUUUAUAGGCCUGACUUAAUUUUCAUCUGCGAAUUGAGAUAGGAGAUUGCAAUAAUAAAUGGCAGCCUUUAGAAACCACUUGGUCAGACAUUAAAGAAUAGGUUUAGAUUGCAACUAUAUCUGGUCAAGUCUCUGAUGGGUCACCUAUUGAUUAUCGAAAAGAAAUCCCUUGUUUGACAUACAAUCUAUCUAUUUACUCUUGAACUGCUUUUUUUUAAAGGUCUGGGUUUUCUAAAUAUUAAGCCUAUGGAAACAAAACAGAAGGAGAAUUCUGGAAUGAAAUACACAGCCUACUCUUUUUUGUGUGUGCUUCAAAGAAGAAUAUAGCCAUGAUUUGAGCAAUUGUGACCGGGAACUGCCUGCUUUGAUGAUAAAUGACUAAGUUAGUGGUCUUUGUACUUAAUAAACAAAGAUUGAGGUCUUGAAAGAUCCGACAGAGUAUAUGCUUUGAGAUUCUCUUAUUGUAGUAAAGACGUGUGUUUAAAACAGUCUUAGUCUGGCGUUGCCACAAUGGCGGUGUAGGUCGCAGCUGUGGCUCGGAUCUGAUCCCUGGCCAGAAACUCCCUAUGACGUGUGGCAG
Molecule: long non-coding RNA, 3030 nt
Filed under: Sus scrofa (pig)
Lineage: Eukaryota; Metazoa; Chordata; Mammalia; Artiodactyla; Suidae
Description: lncRNA (ENSSSCG00000052250.1)
Source: RNAcentral